Mangifera indica (mango) is the source of this 603-nucleotide long non-coding RNA. RefSeq lists it as uncharacterized. Lineage: Eukaryota; Viridiplantae; Streptophyta; Magnoliopsida; Sapindales; Anacardiaceae. The record is from RefSeq and is a predicted model, not a curated record. The transcript has 3 exons.
UUAAUAAUUUUAUAAAGAGAUAUUUACUUUUUUUUUAAUAAUUAUAAUAAAAAUUAAUACAGUGAGAAAUCAACUGGAAUUGGAUCCACUGAGUGGUGGGGGCGGUGAGAGGUAUAAUUUAAUAAAAAUAGGGGUAUUUAGGUAAAUAAAAAAACUAUAACGGCUAGUUAGACCAAUACCGUUGAAUACGCGUGUAAAACAACAGUUGGCCAGAUCACGCUCCCCGAAAUAUUGUUACUUCUUUCUUCGUUUUGCUUUUUGAAAAACCGGACACUCUUCAUCCAUCACUUCACACACCUUCUCUCCGUCCUGCAUUACUUGACAUUGCUUUGCAGGGAAGUUAGCGUUUUGGAAAGAUGAAGAUCUUGAAGAAAACCAUCAACAUUUUCAGGAAGAAAACCUCUCCUAAAGAGGCUUUAAGGGAGAGCAAGAGGGACAUGGCCACUGCAACGAGAGGGAGAAUGGAUUCAAGGUAGCAACAACACAAUGAAAUAUGUUGGAGGAGUCAAACAAUUGAUUCAAUGAAAGAGUCUUGCAGUAUUGAUUCAAUGAAAAACUACCUUCAACUAUCAAUGAAGCCAAGAAAAAUUGAGCUCAGCUGCC